RNAcentral lists this non-coding RNA (160 nucleotides) under Stegodyphus mimosarum. RNAcentral's name for it is "eukaryotic small subunit ribosomal RNA". It matches the Rfam family "Eukaryotic small subunit ribosomal RNA", at positions 1283 to 1467 of the family's 1831-position model. The record is from Rfam by way of RNAcentral. Lineage: Eukaryota; Metazoa; Arthropoda; Arachnida; Araneae; Eresidae.
CAUGGGUUCUUAGUUGGUGGAGCGAUUUGUCUGGUCAAUUCCGAUAACGAACGAGACUCUAGCCUAAUAAAUAGACGCUCCGAUCCUUCGAGUCGGAUGUUCUUCUUAGAGGGACAAGCGGCGUUUAGCCACACGAGACAGACCAAUAACAGAUCUGUGA